RNAcentral lists this ribosomal RNA (376 nucleotides) under uncultured bacterium. RNAcentral describes it as "bacterial SSU rRNA". It matches the Rfam family "Bacterial small subunit ribosomal RNA", at positions 524 to 898 of the family's 1533-position model. The record is from RNAcentral.
GACGUACCACCCAAACGUUAUUCGGAAUCACUGGGCUUAAAGAGUCCGUAGGCGGCUGGGAAAGUUGGGUGUGAAAUACCUCGGCUCAACCGAGGAACUGCACUCAAAACUGCUCAGCUUGAGAGAGACAGAGGUAAGCGGAACUGAUGGUGGAGCGGUGAAAUGCGUUGAUAUCAUCAGGAACACCGGUGGCGAAAGCGGCUUACUGGGUCUCUUCUGACGCUGAGGGACGAAAGCUAGGGGAGCGAACGGGAUUAGAUACCCCGGUAGUCCUAGCCUUAAACGAUGAGCACUAGAUCGAAGGGACCUCCACAUCCUUUUGGUCGUAGGGAAACUGUUAAGUGCUCCGCCUGGGGAGUAUGGUCGCAAGGCUGAA